RNAcentral lists this ribosomal RNA (157 nucleotides) under uncultured anaerobic bacterium. RNAcentral describes it as "partial 16S ribosomal RNA". It matches the Rfam family "Bacterial small subunit ribosomal RNA", at positions 353 to 526 of the family's 1533-position model. The record is from RNAcentral.
UGUGGGGAAUAUUGCACAAUGGGGGAAACCCUGAUGCAGCAACGCCGCGUGAGGGAUGAAGGCCUUCGGGUUGUAAAGCUCUGUCUUCAGGGACGAUAAUGACGGUACCUGAGGAGGAAGCCACGGCUAUCAUACGUGCCAGCAGCCGCGGUAAUAA